Molecule: ribosomal RNA, 450 nt
Filed under: uncultured bacterium
Lineage: Bacteria
Description: bacterial SSU rRNA
Rfam family: Bacterial small subunit ribosomal RNA
Source: RNAcentral
GUGGGGAAUUUUGGACAAUGGGCGCAAGCCUGAUCCAGCCAUGCCGCGUGCAGGAUGAAGGCCUUCGGGUUGUAAACUGCUUUUGUACGGAACGAAACGGCUCUUUCUAAUAAAGAGGGCUAAUGACGGUACCGUAAGAAUAAGCACCGGCUAACUACGUGCCAGCAGCCGCGGUAAUACGUAGGGUGCGAGCGUUAAUCGGAAUUACUGGGCGUAAAGCGUGCGCAGGCGGUGAUGUAAGACAGAUGUGAAAUCCCCGGGCUCAACCUGGGAACUGCAUUUGUGACUGCAUCGCUGGAGUGCGGCAGAGGGGGAUGGAAUUCCGCGUGUAGCAGUGAAAUGCGUAGAUAUGCGGAGGAACACCGAUGGCGAAGGCAAUCCCCUGGGCCUGCACUGACGCUCAUGCACGAAAGCGUGGGGAGCAAACAGGAUUAGAUACCCUGGUAGUCC